RNAcentral lists this non-coding RNA (171 nucleotides) under uncultured Prevotella sp. Lineage: Bacteria; Pseudomonadati; Bacteroidota; Bacteroidia; Bacteroidales; Prevotellaceae. The record is from RNAcentral.
AAAGGUUUGCUAUAGACGCAAUGAAAAGGGAACGAAGUGAGAAUCUUCGACUGUCUCGCAGCUGUAAGCUCCCUCAUCGUCGGUAAGCAAUAUGCCACUGUGACUUGUAAGACACUGUCAUGGGAAGGUGCUUAUCGAUGGAGCAAAGUCAGAAGACCUGCCUUGUGGCAA